This 253-nucleotide ribosomal RNA is filed under the name uncultured bacterium. RNAcentral's name for it is "partial 16S ribosomal RNA". It matches the Rfam family "Bacterial small subunit ribosomal RNA", at positions 524 to 776 of the family's 1533-position model. The record is from RNAcentral.
UACGUAGGGUGCAAGCGUUAAUCGGAAUUACUGGGCGUAAAGCGUGCGCAGGCGGUUAUGUAAGACAGGUGUGAAAUCCCAGGGCUUAACCUUGGAACUGCAUUUGUGACUGCAUAGCUAGAGUACGGUAGAGGGGGAUGGAAUUCCGCGUGUAGCAGUGAAAUGCGUAGAGAUGUGGAGGAAUACCGAUGGCGAAGGCAGCCCCCUGGGAUAACACUGACGCUCAUGCACGAAAGCGUGGGGAGCAAACAGG